This 304-nucleotide ribosomal RNA is filed under the name uncultured bacterium. Its description in RNAcentral is "bacterial SSU rRNA". It matches the Rfam family "Bacterial small subunit ribosomal RNA", at positions 28 to 334 of the family's 1533-position model. The record is from RNAcentral.
GAUGAACGCUGGCGGCGUGCCUAAUACAUGCAAGUCGGACGGAGCGCUUCGGCGCUCAGUGGCGAACGGGUGAGUAGCACAUGGGCAACCUGCCCUUCAGAGGGGGACAACAGCUGGAAACGGCUGCUAAGACCGCAUAGGCGCGGACGGGACAUCUCGUCCACGUUAAACGUCCUUACGGGGACAGCUGAAGGAUGGGCCUGUGGCGCAUUAGCUUGUUGGUGGGGUAACGGCCCACCAAGGCGACGAUUGGUAGCCGACCUGAGAGGGUGACCGGCCACAUUGGGACUGAGACACGGCCCAA